UGAGGAACAUGACCUUCGGCGGGGGAUAGCCGGCUCAACGGCCGGGUAAUACCGCGUACGACCACAUGGGGACAUCCCUGAGUGGUGAAAGCAGCAAUGCGCCGAUGGAGUGCCUCGCGGCCUAUCAGCUAGUUGGUGAGGUAACGGCUCACCAAGGCGACGACGGGUAGCUGGUCUGAGAGGAUGGCCAGCCACAUUGGGACCGAGACACGGCCCAGACCUNUACGGGAGG
RNAcentral lists this ribosomal RNA (232 nucleotides) under uncultured bacterium. RNAcentral's name for it is "partial 16S ribosomal RNA". It matches the Rfam family "Bacterial small subunit ribosomal RNA", at positions 118 to 347 of the family's 1533-position model. The record is from RNAcentral.